This is a long non-coding RNA of Perca fluviatilis (European perch), 1438 nucleotides long. RefSeq lists it as uncharacterized. The record is from RefSeq and is a predicted model, not a curated record. NCBI's taxonomy places the organism in Eukaryota, Metazoa, Chordata, Actinopteri, Perciformes, Percidae. The transcript is spliced from 2 exons.
AAUGCCAACACAAAGAAAGAGGAAGGUAACGGACAUCCGGACGAAAAUGAGAGACGUCCGACGGAACCUGGAACCGGAACAAUCCUGUAAAUGAAACUUCGUCGAUGUAGACUAUGGUUGCAUUAAUAUCCGAACAGCAAUUUCAUAUUGUAGUUGGUCGAGGUGGAGCUAAGUGCCUUAGUGGGACAGAGGGCGGCGGCUUGCCCCAGCAGUGGCUACACCGCUUAAUACACUCAGUAACAAUAACCCUUAGUCGGCUUGCACCAUUGGUUAGCCAAUAGCUGACACAACAAAAACAAAUCCCACAAUGGCAAUUAAUGCAUGCUCUGAAGGCGUGCCUUUUUGUAUGGAAAGCAUUGCAUUGUGGGGUCAUAUCUUAUUGUCUCGGAUAACGGGGCAAUUGAAUGGAACUAAUCUGUGGCUGCAAACAAUGAAAUGAAAAACAAUAGGCUGGCCGAGAAGUCAAAGACGAGCAUGCGUGAUUACUUAUGAGCGAUGAUCUCUGACACGGGGGGGGCUCUGGUGGCAGAAGAGGCCUCUGAAUGACUUCCAGCGCGGGCUAUAUGCAGGGGAUCAGAGGGACUGCUGGGGCUCCCCCUCCCCCACUAUCUACUUCCUGUUUUUCAUGGUUGUCUGCUCGCUUCUGCGUAUACAAUACCAGCUGUGUCUGGAGACAUUCCAGCCUAUACUAUACUGCAGCCCUCAUAAAACCAUGCAUGACUGCUGGCCAAGAGGAGCCUAGAAACAGAACAGAAUGCACUGCUGCAUCGUGGGACAUCUGCUGAUCAGGAGGCUGUUACACUAAAGGCCUUUCCAAACGCUUUGGCUGCUAAUUUAUGUUAUUAUUUAAUUAGUUCUUCUCCAGCUUCAGUGGACACCUUUUUGUUUUUCUUAAUCAGCUUUUACCCUGGAAAAAGAGGGAACUGCAGUCAGACUCACCUUGAGUUGCAUCUUGUUAUGUUUGAAAGCUUGAUUGAUUGAUUGAUUGAUUGAAUAAUGUAUUAGCCUAUACCACAGAGCAGGAUGGUCGUUUUAUCUGCUACAUAUUUAAAAUGUUCAAUAUAAUGUUAUGGGUUUUUGAAAAUAUUUUAGAGACGGACAGAAAAGACAAAAUAUUAUAUUCAUUUUGACAGCCCAAUUCCAACAUACAGUAUGUGGUGGAGAGGAACACAUUAAUUCCAGUACUGUACUAACAAUUUUAAAGUAAAUGGACUUGACUUAAAUAUUUUCACUAAAUGCAUCUCUUUAAUUUUACUACACUUCAGAAGGAAAUAUUACACUCUUUACCCCUUUACAUUUAUCUCACAGCUGUCGCUGUGCACUUUCCAGAGUAAGAUUUUACACAAUUUCAUUUUGUGUGUUUGUACAAAAUGUUGGCACCAUGUAUAUGUGAAUGUUUUGUGAACAGAUGUAAAUAAAAUAGAAAUGCAUACGUGGA